This 399-nucleotide long non-coding RNA is filed under the name Erythranthe guttata (spotted monkey flower). RNAcentral's name for it is "long non-coding RNA (EGUT_LNC000947)". Lineage: Eukaryota; Viridiplantae; Streptophyta; Magnoliopsida; Lamiales; Phrymaceae. The record is from RNAcentral.
AAAAAAACAUUAGCACCCCACAAAUGAUCAGUAAUUAUUGUUAAUAAUAUUAUUAUAAUAUACUAGUAUAAUAGCAACAUUAUUGAAAGAUUUCAAUCAAAGGAUUGCAGCAUGUUUUGACCCCCAUUGACUAUGCACAAAUUAAAAGGCUGUGUUCACUUUUCAAUUUUGACUUUGAAACUCACCACUAAAUGUGAAAUUGUAAUGAUUUAGGAAUUAAACAGUUCUUGCAAUAUACUUAAUCACCUUAUAUAUUUUUAUUUUAUUUAAAAAAAAAAAGAAGUGGUGGGUGGGGCCCAGGCAUGAAAAACAUAGGCGUGGGGAAAGAGGGGAGCAUGAAAAACAGAGUACAAGUAUGUUGGGAUGUAAGGAGACAUUUUUUUUGCAUGUAAGAAAACU